AAAUUAAAGUAGUAAUAGAUAAAUGCUUGAAACUUAAAAAAUUUGGCGGUAUUUUAAUCUAUUUAGAGGAACUUGUUCUAUAAUCGAUAAUCCACGUUAAAUUUUACUAAAUUAAAUUUAUUUGUAUAUCGUUGUCGAAAGAAUAUUUUUAAAAAAUAAUAAUUUUCUAAAAUUUUUAUUAAAAUUAAUGUCAAAUCAAGGUGCAGUUUAUAAUUUAGAAGAAAUGAGUUACAAUAAAUUUAUUUAAAAUGAAUUUAAUUUUGAAAAAAUUAAUGAAGGUGGAUUUAAUAGUAAAUUAAUUUUAAUAAAAUUGAUUGAUUAAGGUUCUAAAAUAUGU
RNAcentral lists this ribosomal RNA (337 nucleotides) under Synopsyllus fonquernii. Its description in RNAcentral is "partial 12S ribosomal RNA". Lineage: Eukaryota; Metazoa; Arthropoda; Insecta; Siphonaptera; Pulicidae. The record is from RNAcentral.